Long non-coding RNA from Cydia amplana, 267 nucleotides. RefSeq lists it as uncharacterized. The transcript has 2 exons. The record is from RefSeq and is a predicted model, not a curated record. Lineage: Eukaryota; Metazoa; Arthropoda; Insecta; Lepidoptera; Tortricidae.
UUUUUCAUCAAACCCAUACGUGUGGGGUAUCUAUGGAUAGGUCUUCAAAAAUGAUAUUGAGGUUUCUAAUAUCUUUUUUUCUAAACUGAAUAGUUUGCGCGAGAGACACUUCCAAAGUGGUAAAAUGUGUGUCCCCCCCCUGUAACUUCUAAAAUAAGAGAAUGAUAAAACUAAAAAAAAUAUAUGAUGUACAUUACUAUGCAAACUUCCACCGAAAAUUGGUUUGAACGAGAUCUAGUAAGUAGUUUUUUUUUAAUACGUCAUAAA